ACAGAACCAACAUGACCAUUAUCCAAACUUGUCGCAUCAUCUGAAUUCUUUGAUACUGAAGAAUAAGAAUACCUUGCAGCUUCAAAUUUACGAAUUGUGGAAUCUUUAGUUAGAUCAUAUUCUUGUACUGAAACAGAGUGACCAUUAAAGGAAGAGCUAGACAUCAGUAAAAGCUCACCAUUGGGACUCACAGAGGAAAAUUGAACAAGUCCUUGGAGCUGCUUUGAAGUGUUUUUUGGACCAGUACUAGUUAGAUAUUUACUUUCAAAUGAAUUUAUUCCACUGACGUGAAUUUGCUCAGCUAAAUCAACUGCACGAAUAACAACUAAAGAGUUGUCUCCCAAAUGCAAAGCAUACGAAUCAGAAUCAUGAGAAGUAGCUAUUGAGAGAAUAGAUGAUCCCAAUCGAGGUAAGAAUUGUCGAUGAGACGUCUCCAUUUGCCAUAAGACAAGAACACCUUCUUGACCACCAGAGAGUAGAUAUUCACCGUUCAAUGCCCAAGAUAAACCAUUCAAUGGAUUUGCGUGCCAAUGAAGGAUUUGAGGAUUAAACUUCUCAUUGCUAAUGUCAUUAAUAACAUGAAUUUUCCCUUCAUCAUCAGAAACAGCACAGGCUGAACCACAUAAGGAAACAUUAGUAAGUUUCUGUGGCAUAUUGAACAGAUGUUCACGAUGAAUCCAUCUUUGGCUCCUUUUCUUUUUAGGAACGUUCAAAGAAAAAAUUGCUUUGUCAGUAGUAAUGACUGCUACCGUGGCUAAAUUGUUAUCUCUGAGACUGCUGUCGAGAGCUAAAAACUCGUUGAACUUAGAGACAAAUGUUGGAAUCAAUAUAGAACUGCCUUCUUUAGAAGUGGAGGGGGAAAGGGCAUAAAGAGUAAAUCGAUCUUGUGAAGAAGCAGAGUCUGAAGCAGGAGUAUCGGUUACAGCAAACAAUAGCUUUCCGGAAAAAGAAGCUGCAUGGACACGAGUGGAAAUCUCCAUGGUGCGCAAAAGUUCAGAAUUCGACCAGUCAUGAACACAGACGUAUCCGCUUUGAAAAAUCACAUAUAGCUCAAAUGCAUUCUCAGGAGACAAUAAUA
This is a non-coding RNA of Schizosaccharomyces pombe (fission yeast), 1078 nucleotides long. Lineage: Eukaryota; Fungi; Ascomycota; Schizosaccharomycetes; Schizosaccharomycetales; Schizosaccharomycetaceae. The record is from the annotation of a GenBank genome assembly.